This 326-nucleotide transfer-messenger RNA is filed under the name Dehalococcoidia bacterium. RNAcentral describes it as "partial transfer-messenger RNA". It matches the Rfam family "transfer-messenger RNA". From Rfam's summary of the family: Bacterial tmRNA, also known as 10Sa RNA or SsrA, is named for its dual tRNA and mRNA-like properties. Its role is to liberate the mRNA from a stalled ribosome. Lineage: Bacteria; Bacillati; Chloroflexota; Dehalococcoidia. The record is from RNAcentral.
GGGGACGAAAGGGUUCGACAGGGAAGGUUGAUCCCGGAGUGCAAGCCGAGGUCGCCACACCCUCGUAAAACAGGUGGCGAAAGAUAACUGGCGAAAACCAGUACGCUCUAGCCGCCUAAUAGCGGCGGCUACGUUGGGCCAAGGCCUCUCCUCGACGGGCCGGGUCCGGCGCCGCGAAGCCGAGGUGCGGUUCCUCCGACGCCGAUACGGGGGGCCAAAGACCGAAUCGGCUGGCCCGCCGGUGACUCCGUCGGUGGAGGUACGGCGGGCGAGACACAAACGCCGACUAAGCUUGUAGAGGUCCGGGUGGGUCUUCCUCUGGACGA